UACAUCGGAACGUGCCCAAUCGUGGGGGAUAACGUAGCGAAAGCUACGCUAAUACCGCAUAAGAUCUACGGAUGAAAGCGGGGGAUUCGCAAGAACCUCGCGCGAGUGGAGCGGCUGAUGGCAGAUUAGGUAGUUGGUGAGGUAAAGGCUCACCAAGCCUUCGAUCUGUAGCUGGUCUGAGAGGACGACCAGCCACACUGGGACUGAGACACGGCCCAG
Molecule: ribosomal RNA, 219 nt
Filed under: uncultured bacterium
Lineage: Bacteria
Description: partial 16S ribosomal RNA
Rfam family: Bacterial small subunit ribosomal RNA
Source: RNAcentral